RNAcentral lists this ribosomal RNA (216 nucleotides) under Glomeromycotina sp. RNAcentral describes it as "partial small subunit ribosomal RNA". The stretch from base 40 to 216 matches the Rfam family "Eukaryotic small subunit ribosomal RNA", at positions 686 to 864 of the family's 1831-position model. The record is from RNAcentral. Lineage: Eukaryota; Fungi; Glomeromycota.
GGGUCAGUAGGUUGGUCGUGCCACCGGUACGUACUGGUCUCACUGAUUCCUCCUUCUUGAAGAACCGUAAUGCCAUUAAUUUGGUGUUGCGGGGAGACAGGACUGUUACUUUGAAAAAAUUAGAGUGUUUAAAGCAAGCUAACGCUUGAAUACAUUAGCAUGGAAUAAUGAAAUAGGACGAUCGAUCCUAUUUUGUUGGUUUCUAGGAUUGACGUA